AUUGAACGCUGGCGGCAUGCUUUACACAUGCAAGUCGAACGGCAGCGGGGGCUUCGGCCCGCCGGCGAGUGGCGAACGGGUGAGUAAUGCAUCGGAACGUGCCCAGUCGUGGGGGAUAACACAUCGAAAGAUGUGCUAAUACCGCAUACGUCCUGAGGGAGAAAGCGGGGGAUCUUCGGACCUCGCGCGAUUGGAGCGGCCGAUGUCGGAUUAGCUAGUUGGUGGGGUAAAAGCCCACCAAGGCGACGAUCCGUAGCGGGUCUGAGAGGAUGAUCCGCCACACUGGGACUGAGACACGGCCCAGACUCCUACGGGAGGCAGCAGUGGGGAAUUUUGGACAAUGGGGGCAACCCUGAUCCAGCCAUGCCGCGUGAGUGAUGAAGGCCCUAGGGUUGUAAAGCUCUUUCGGACGGAAAGAAAUCGCCGCCUCUAACACAGGCGGUGGAUGACGGUACCGUAAGAAGAAGCACCGGCUAACUACGUGCCAGCAGCCGCGGUAAA
RNAcentral lists this ribosomal RNA (501 nucleotides) under uncultured bacterium. Its description in RNAcentral is "bacterial SSU rRNA". It matches the Rfam family "Bacterial small subunit ribosomal RNA", at positions 29 to 524 of the family's 1533-position model. The record is from RNAcentral.